AAUCCCUUUACUCCUUAACACUCAGCCUCUCAGACUCGGCUUCCUAGUCUCAGAUCAGGAGUUGAAAUCCUAGGCUUUUUGCUUCCUUUUCAAGGUUAAAUCCCUGAUAGCUGAGAGUUCUUUGAGGUUAUGGAACCCUCAAGUGUUG
Long non-coding RNA from Quercus lobata, 148 nucleotides. RefSeq lists it as uncharacterized. The record is from RefSeq and is a predicted model, not a curated record. The transcript is spliced from 3 exons. Lineage: Eukaryota; Viridiplantae; Streptophyta; Magnoliopsida; Fagales; Fagaceae.